This 775-nucleotide ribosomal RNA is filed under the name uncultured Neocallimastigales. RNAcentral describes it as "partial large subunit ribosomal RNA". It matches the Rfam family "Eukaryotic large subunit ribosomal RNA", at positions 23 to 638 of the family's 3401-position model. The record is from RNAcentral. Lineage: Eukaryota; Fungi; Neocallimastigomycota; Neocallimastigomycetes; Neocallimastigales.
GAGACUCUGUGCGCGUGCAUAUCAAUAAGCGGAGGAAAAGAAACUAACAAGGAUUCCCUUAGUAACGGCGAGUGAAGCGGGAAGAGCUCAAAUUUGAAAUCUUCAAGGUUUUACCUUGACGAAUUGUAGUUUAAAGAAGUGUUUUCUGUUGGAGUUUUGGUAAAAGUUCUUUGGAAUAGGACAUCAUAGAGGGUGAGAAUCCCGUAUUUGACCGUUACUUUCCAGCUGUGUGAUACACUUUCAAAGAGUCGGAUUGUUUGGGAAUGCAGUCCAAAAUGGGUGGUAAAUUUCAUCUAAAGCUAAAUAUUGGCGAGAGACCGAUAGCGAACAAGUACCGUGAGGGAAAGAUGAAAAGAACUUUGAAAAGAGAGUUAAACAGUACGUGAAAUUGUCAAGAGGGAAGCGUUUGACACCAGUGUUGUUUAGUUGAAAAUCAAUUCAAUAAUUUUUGAUUCUAAGUAGUAUUGACUUCAUCAGCUUGCUGCUUUCUUCUCAGAAAUUAUUGAAUGCACUUUUCAGUUAACAAGUCAACAUCAAUUUCUUUUGUUGUAAAAGGGUAAGAGGAAGGUGGCUUGCGCUUCGGCUCAAGUGUUUAUAGCCUUUUAUCUCUGCAAUCGGAGAGAUUGAGGUCUGCAGCGUAGAUCCUUCGGGGUUAGAUACAUUGGUGCUAAGUUAUAGCUUGUCAUAGACAACUUGUUGACUAUGAUCAGUCAUGUAGCUUACUCGCUGAUGUCAUUUUACCUACGCUUAGGAUGUUGACAGCAGUAUAGACUGU